AUUGAACGCUAGCGGCAUGCCUUACACAUGCAAGUCGAACGGCAGCGGGGGAGCUUGCUCCCGCCGGCGAGUGGCGAACGGGUGAGUAAUACAUCGGAACGUGCCCAGUAGCGGGGGAUAGCCCGGCGAAAGCCGGAUUAAUACCGCAUACGCCCUACGGGGGAAAGGGGGGGAGCGCAAGACCUCUCCCUAUUGGAGCGGCCGAUGGCUGAUUAGCUAGUUGGUGGGUAAAGGCCUACCAAGGCGACGAUCAGUAGCUGGUCUGAGAGGACGACCAGCCACACUGGGACUGAGACACGGCCCAGACUCCUACGGGAGGCAGCAGUGGGGAAUUUUGGACAAUGGGCGAAAGCCUGAUCCAGCAAUGCCGCGUGUGCGAAGAAGGCCUUCGGGUUGUAAAGCACUUUUGUCAGGGAAGAAAUCGUUUGGGUUAAUACCCCGAGCAGUUGACGGUACCUGAAGAAUAAGCACCGGCUAACUACGUGCCAGCCGCCGCAGUAA
This 501-nucleotide ribosomal RNA is filed under the name uncultured bacterium. RNAcentral describes it as "partial 16S ribosomal RNA". It matches the Rfam family "Bacterial small subunit ribosomal RNA", at positions 29 to 523 of the family's 1533-position model. The record is from RNAcentral.